This 75-nucleotide transfer RNA is filed under the name Campylobacter sp. RNAcentral describes it as "tRNA-Cys". It matches the Rfam family "tRNA". From Rfam's summary of the family: Transfer RNA (tRNA) molecules are approximately 80 nucleotides in length. Their secondary structure includes four short double-helical elements and three loops (D, anti-codon, and T loops). The record is from RNAcentral. Lineage: Bacteria; Pseudomonadati; Campylobacterota; Epsilonproteobacteria; Campylobacterales; Campylobacteraceae. RNAcentral also lists the same sequence under 2 other names.
GGCGACAUAGCCAAGCGGCUAAGGCAUGGGAUUGCAAAUCCUUGAUCCCCAGUUCGAAUCUGGGUGUCGCCUCCA